Molecule: unclassified non-coding RNA, 409 nt
Filed under: soil metagenome
Description: partial contains 5.8S ribosomal RNA, internal transcribed spacer 2, and large subunit ribosomal RNA
Rfam family: 5.8S ribosomal RNA (bases 1-120)
Source: RNAcentral
GAUGAAGAACGUAGCGAAUUGCGAUAAGUAAUGUGAAUUGCAGAAUUCAGUGAAUCAUCGAAUCUUUGAACGCAUCUUGCGCUCUUUGGUAUUCCGAAGAGCAUGCCUGUUUGAGUGUCAUGAAACUCUCACCUCCAAUCUUUUUUAACUAGAAGGUUGGGGCGUGGACGUGAGUGCUGCUGGUGCCAUGGUUGCAUCGGCUCACUUGAAAUUCAUUAGCUGAAUCCUUUAAAGUAGGUUCUACUCGACGUGAUAAGAUCUCCGUCGAGGACAGUGCUUCGGCAUUGGCCAACGAUAAAGUUGAUACGCUUCUAAUUAGCGCAGACUUCGAGUGCUGGCAAUUUUGACAACUUGGCCUCAAAUCAGGUAGGACUACCCACUGAACUUAAGCAUAUCAAUAAGCGGAGGA